CGGGUGAGUAACACGUGGAUAACCUACCUAUAAGACUGGGAUAACUUCGGGAAACCGGAGCUAAUACCGGAUAAUAUUUUGAACCGCAUGGUUCAAAAGUGAAAGACGGUCUUGCUGUCACUUAUAGAUGGAUCCUCGCUGCAUUAGCUAGUUGGUAAGGUAACGGCUUACCAAGGCAACGAUGCAUAGCCGACCUGAGAGGGUGAUCGGCCACACUGGAACUGAGACACGGUCCAG
RNAcentral lists this ribosomal RNA (237 nucleotides) under uncultured Staphylococcus sp. RNAcentral describes it as "partial 16S ribosomal RNA". It matches the Rfam family "Bacterial small subunit ribosomal RNA", at positions 103 to 334 of the family's 1533-position model. The record is from RNAcentral. Lineage: Bacteria; Bacillati; Bacillota; Bacilli; Caryophanales; Staphylococcaceae.